UCUCCUGGGAAAGGGUGGUAAUGCCGGAUGUUCCAGUUGAUCGCAUGGUCUUCUGGGAAAGCUUUCGCGGUAUGGGAUGGGGUCGCGUCCUAUCAGCUUGACGGCGGGGUAACGGCCCACCGUGGCUUCGACGGGUAGCCGGCCUGAGAGGGCGACCGGCCACAUUGGGACUGAGAUACGGCCCAGACUCCUACGGGAGGCAGCAGUGGGGAAUAUUGCACAAUGGGCGCAAGCCUGAUGCAGCGACGCCGCGUGAGGGAUGGAGGCCUUCGGGUUGUAAACCUCUUUUAUCGGGGAGCAAGCGUGAGUGAGUUUACCCGUUGAAUAAGCACCGGCUAACUACGUGCCAGCAGCCGCGGUAAUACGUAGGGUGCAAGCGUUAUCCGGAAUUAUUGGGCGUAAAGGGCUCGUAGGCGGUUCGUCGCGUCCGGUGUGAAAGUCCAUCGCUUAACGGUGGAUCCGCGCCGGGUACGGGCGGGCUUGAGUGCGGUAGGGGAGACUGGAAUUCCCGGUGUAACGGUGGAAUGUGUAGAUAUCGG
RNAcentral lists this ribosomal RNA (539 nucleotides) under Bifidobacterium longum subsp. suillum. Its description in RNAcentral is "bacterial SSU rRNA". It matches the Rfam family "Bacterial small subunit ribosomal RNA", at positions 146 to 700 of the family's 1533-position model. Lineage: Bacteria; Bacillati; Actinomycetota; Actinomycetes; Bifidobacteriales; Bifidobacteriaceae. The record is from RNAcentral.